GGGAUUCCUGCUCUGUUUCCAGAUUCCCGGCGCCUUGGGUCUCCAGGUGCCUCCAGCAUCUUGGUAUCCGCUUCCCAGGGCCGUGCCCCUCGCCUGUCCCCGGUGUCCCUGGGUGCCCCUUCACAGCUUUGGGACGUUGCAGAACAAAUCAGCCCCUGCGGAUUCUUCCGACGGGGAGACAGAGAGGCUGUGGAGUGGAACUUGGAGGAGACGACGUCCAGGAGUCUUUGCUAGGACUGGGGACAGAGACGUGAGCCUCCCGCCGCGCCCGUCGGGCAGGGACGCCUCGCCUGGGGGAUCUGGGAGAGUGGAAUUCCAUCAUGAAGACAGAGGACACGUCCCAGUGCCUGCCUGAUGUGUCCUUCCUAAGUUGAACCCCGGGGCACUUGGUGGGCGCGCUGGACCUAGGCUGCCUUCUCAGAAAACUCCCAGCUGGGACCUGGCCUUCUCUGGACACCCCCGGUGGCAAAGAUGUUUUAAUCCCCUUCCCAGGUCUCGAGUUCCAGUCAGAGGAUCCGAUAACAGUUCUUGUAUUGUGUGGGUCACUUAAGAAACCCCUGGCAUCCCUCGAGUGCAGACACAGCUGAAUGCUACAACAAGACUGGUAACCUGGGGCGUGUGCAGUAACUGGGGUAUGUAUGGCCCUUUCCUCCCAUGUGUGUGUAGCAGAAAGAGGACAUUGUGUCUUUGAGAGAAGUCAGGUCAUUUGCCCCAGGUCUCACAGCUCCUGAGUGGCAUCAGAGGGACUCAAACCCUGCAGAAGAGACUGUCCUUUCCCUCUGCUGUGGAAAAAUGUAUCCAGCAGCUUGGUGGUCCUGACCCAGCUCCAGCCAAGGACAGGGCAGCUUUGCUCCACCCGUGGGGAGCUUUCCAUCCGUCUGGGUCCAGGGCCAUCUCCCCCUGUAGGGCUCUGACCCAGCCUCCCUCCUGCUUUCUCAGGCUCUGAAAAACCUCUGAGCAUCUCUAUGGGUUUGUGAUUGAGGUGUGCGUGUCUGCCAGCAGCCCUGGACAGCAGUGAGUAACCUCAGUAUUGGAAAGGGGUCUGACUCUGUCCUCAUCUCUCCCCUUCUCUGGCUCCAUCCUACCUCUCCCCUAGCUGGUUUCUUCUGCAAACCCUGGUGAAUCCAGAAGGGUAUCCACUUCUGAAAUUCACGUAGCCUGCAGCUGCUCACUCCCCAUGGGUGAGAGCAAGAGUUGAUGUCCUCUAUUUAGUGGUUUAUUUUUAGUAGCAAAAAGUUGUGUCUAUUUGUUUAAAAAGUCAAAUUAAGAUGUCCCCAUUGCCUCUCAGCGCCAAGGAACCUGACUGGUACCCAUGAGAACUCGGUUGGGUCUCUGGCCCAACUCAGUGGGUUAAGGAUCCCCUGCUGGGGUGAGCUGCAGACAGGACUUGGAGUCCUUGUAGCUGUGGCUGUGGUAUAGGCUGGCAGCUGCAGCUGAUUCUACCCCUAGCCUGGGAGCUUCCAUAUGUUGUGGGUGUGGCUCUAAAAAAAAAAAAAA
RNAcentral lists this long non-coding RNA (1497 nucleotides) under Sus scrofa (pig). RNAcentral describes it as "lncRNA (ENSSSCG00005028606.1)". Lineage: Eukaryota; Metazoa; Chordata; Mammalia; Artiodactyla; Suidae. The record is from RNAcentral.